CAGCAGCCACGGUAAUACGAAGGGGGCUAGCGUUGUUCGGAUUUACUGGGCGUAAAGGGCGCGUAGGCGGACUGAUAAGUCAGGGGUGAAAUCCCAAGGCUCAACCUUGGAACUGCCUUUGAUACUGUUUGUCUUGAGUUCGAGAGAGGUAAGUGGAACUGCGAGUGUAGAGGUGAAAUUCGUAGAUAUUCGCAAGAACACCAGUGGCGAAGGCGGCUUGCUGGCUCGAAACUGACGCUGAGGCGCGAAAGCGUGGGGAGCAAACAGGAUUAGAUACCCCUGUAGUCCCUGUCUCUUAUAC
This 301-nucleotide ribosomal RNA is filed under the name uncultured bacterium. RNAcentral's name for it is "partial 16S ribosomal RNA". It matches the Rfam family "Bacterial small subunit ribosomal RNA", at positions 509 to 807 of the family's 1533-position model. The record is from RNAcentral.